GGCGAGUGAAGCGGGAAGAGCUCAAAUUUGUAAUCUGGCACUUUCAGUGUCCGAGUUGUAAUCUCGAGAAGUAUUUUCCGCGCCGGACCGCAUACAAGUCUGUUGGAAUACAGCGUCAUAGUGGUGAGAACCCCGUAACUGAUGCGGAUGCCCGGUGCUUUGUGAUAUACUUUCGAAGAGUCGAGUUGUUUGGGAAUGCAGCUCAAAUUGGGUGGUAAAUUCCAUCUAAAGCUAAAUAUUGGAGCAAGACCGAUAGCGAACAAGUACCGUGAGGGAAAGAUGAAAAGCACUUUGGAAAGAGAGUUAACAGUACGUGAAAUUGUUGGAAGGGAAACGCUUGAAGUCAGACUUGCUAUUCGGAGUUCAGCCGCAAGGUGUAUUCUUCGAUUUGCAGGCCAGCAUCAGUUUUUGGGGGUGGAAAAUCGUGGUUUGAAGGUAGCAGUUUCGGCUGUGUUAUAGCUUUCCACUGGAUUCAUCUUCGGGG
Molecule: ribosomal RNA, 484 nt
Filed under: Leucosporidium scottii
Lineage: Eukaryota; Fungi; Basidiomycota; Microbotryomycetes; Leucosporidiales; Leucosporidiaceae
Description: eukaryotic LSU rRNA
Rfam family: Eukaryotic large subunit ribosomal RNA
Source: RNAcentral